UACAGAGGGUGCAAGCGUUAAUCGGAAUUACUGGGCGUAAAGCGUGCGUAGACGGUCAUGUAAGUCGGGUGUGAAAGCCCCGGGCUCAACCUGGGAAUUGCAUUCGAGACUGCAUGGCUAGGAUGCGGAAGAGGGAAGCGGAAUUCCAGGUGUAGCGGUGAAAUGCGUAGAUAUCUGGAGGAAUACCGGUGGCGAAGGCGGCAUCCUGGACCAUUACUGACGCUGAGGCGCGAAAGCAUGGGGAGCGAACAGG
RNAcentral lists this ribosomal RNA (253 nucleotides) under uncultured bacterium. Its description in RNAcentral is "partial 16S ribosomal RNA". It matches the Rfam family "Bacterial small subunit ribosomal RNA", at positions 524 to 776 of the family's 1533-position model. The record is from RNAcentral.